This is a long non-coding RNA of Poecilia latipinna (sailfin molly), 886 nucleotides long. RefSeq lists it as uncharacterized. The record is from RefSeq and is a predicted model, not a curated record. Lineage: Eukaryota; Metazoa; Chordata; Actinopteri; Cyprinodontiformes; Poeciliidae. The transcript has 3 exons.
CCAGGCUGUCGACCUGCAGCGCCUCCUCUGGUUUCAGCACGUCGGCCGCGUUUUCCUGCGUGAGCACCCAGCUCUGCCGGACGGUGAAGCGGAGUCGGGUGGCGUUGUGGCUGACCUCCAGGCAGCAGGGGGCGCUGGGCUUGACUGACGGAGGAAACAGAGCAGGUUUUACCUGAGCUGUCACAGUAAACAGAGUGAAACCUGCAGCCGGGUCUCCUAGCAACCAGGUGGAGCGGAGGAGAGUCAGGAUCAGCAGCUUCAUCCUCAGAGGAGGCCGGCGCUCCAUCAUCAUCAUCAUCAUCAUCAUCAGCCGCUGUGCCGGCGCCGGCUGAGAUCUCUGCGCUCUCUGAGGUUUGCAGCAGCAGCUUUAAAGCAAACAGAAAGAGGCGGGAUCCGUUUCUCACCAAUCACCUGCUUCACUCAAAGAGGAUGUUGUUUGUUUUGUUGUUUUAUUCUAAAAGCAGCUGAAGUGUAAAAUGAGCCUCAGGUUUAGCAGCAAAGCCUGACUUCAUCAGUGAACAUCCAGGCUGCUGGGUUUCUCUCAUUAGAUGAAUGUUUGUGAAUCAUGGAUGCUUCUGUUGGUGGGACUGUACGGACGGUUUCAUGCCAUAUUCACCAUGUGGUGAGGCUGGUUUUGAUCACUGCGCUGAUAAACAUGCAGAGAUGAAACGAAACGUGUCACGAUAGAUGUUACCAUCUGAAGAAGCAAACAGCCAGCGCUGAGCGUCGUUUCACUUUCCACUGGAGGAAACUGUAAAAAUUUAACAGGUUUAAUCACAGAAACUGAUUUUCUGCUAGAAAACGUAACUUUGUUUCAGAACGCACCGAUCUGCUGUUUUCACUUCUGAUACCGAUACCGAUAUCUGAGGUUUACUAUCGGCCGAUC